UACAGGGGGGGCAAGCGUUGUUCGGAAUUAUUGGGCGUAAAGGGUUCGUAGGCGGUCGACUCAGUCAGACGUGAAAUCCCUCGGCUUAACCGGGGAACUGCGUCUGAUACUGGUUGGCUUGAGUGCAGGAGAGGAAUGCGGAAUUCCAGGUGUAGCGGUGAAAUGCGUAGAUAUCUGGAGGAACACCGGUGGCGAAGGCGGCAUUCUGGACUGUAACUGACGCUGAGGAACGAAAGCCAGGGGAGCAAACGGG
This 253-nucleotide ribosomal RNA is filed under the name uncultured bacterium. Its description in RNAcentral is "partial 16S ribosomal RNA". It matches the Rfam family "Bacterial small subunit ribosomal RNA", at positions 524 to 776 of the family's 1533-position model. The record is from RNAcentral.